AGUGAACGCUGGCGGUAGGCCUAACACAUGCAAGUCGAACGGCAGCACAGUAAGAGCUUGCUCUUACGGGUGGCGAGUGGCGGACGGGUGAGGAAUACAUCGGAAUCUACUUUUUCGUGGGGGUUAACGUAGGGAAACUUACGCUAAUACCGCAUACGACCUACGGGUGAAAGCAGGGGAUCUUCGGACCUUGCGCGACUGAAUGAGCCGAUGUCGGAUUAGCUAGUUGGCGGGGUAAAGGCCCACCAAGGCGACGAUCCGUAGCUGGUCUGAGAGGAUGAUCAGCCACACUGGAACUGAGACACGGUCCAGACUCCUACGGGAGGCAGCAGUGGGGAAUAUUGGACAAUGGGCGCAAGCCUGAUCCAGCCAUACCGCGUGGGUGAAGAAGGCCUUCGGGUUGUAAAGCCCUUUUGUUGGGAAAGAAAAGCAGCAGGUUAAUACCCCGCUGUUCUGACGGUACCCGAAGAAUAAGCACCGGCUAACUUCGUG
RNAcentral lists this ribosomal RNA (492 nucleotides) under uncultured bacterium. Its description in RNAcentral is "partial 16S ribosomal RNA". It matches the Rfam family "Bacterial small subunit ribosomal RNA", at positions 29 to 507 of the family's 1533-position model. The record is from RNAcentral.